This 254-nucleotide ribosomal RNA is filed under the name uncultured bacterium. RNAcentral's name for it is "partial 16S ribosomal RNA". It matches the Rfam family "Bacterial small subunit ribosomal RNA", at positions 524 to 776 of the family's 1533-position model. The record is from RNAcentral.
CACGUGGGGUGCGAGCGUUGUCCGGAAUUAUUGGGCGUAAAGAGCUCGUAGGCGGUGUGUCGCGUCGGCCGUGAAAACCUGCAGCUUAACUGUGGGCGUGCGGUCGAUACGGGCAUCACUGGAGUUCGGCAGGGGAGACUGGAAUUCCUGGUGUAGCGGUGAAAUGCGCGGAUAUCAGGAGGAACACCGGUGGCGAAGGCGGGUCUCUGGGCCGAUACUGACGCUGAGGAGCGAAAGCGUGGGGAGCGAACAGG